AAAAAAAAAAAAGAUAUAAAUGUUAUUUUUUAUACAUUUUAUACAAACUCAUUGUUAAUUUGAAGCUAAUUUAUUACUCAGAAAAAGAUGAUUUGUUAAAACUACAUUUUGAUGACCUGUAUCUUUUUCUGGAUCUUUUAAUUUUUUUCCAAGAAUACAUGUACAUUAUGCCACAUCCACUUAUAACAAAAAAAGUUAAUUUUUAUCCUGAGAAAUCUUUGCUACAUCUCAUCAGUACUUUUUUUUUAACAGUAAGAAAUAGAUGGAGUGUUUACUUUUACACAAUAUAAGAUGUUUCUAUCAUUUCACUUAGUAAUAUGUUAUAGUCAGGAGUAAUCAUCUAUUUCCCCUGUUAAAUGGAUGGAAUUUAAAAGGAUUUUAUGCCACCAUUGCAGUUCAUACCUAUUAUUAUGUUUACUAGAACAAGUGAAUAAGCUUGAACAAGAGAUUACUCCAGAAUUGCUCUUGAAAAAAAGCUAAUGUUUUCUAACAGGAGGCACCUUUGAGGUAGUGAAUCCAUAUACGAACUGAUAGCUAUGCUAUCAGACAAUAAAAAUCUGUGACUCCUGAAGAGGAUCAACUGUUAAUGAGAGAAACUGUUUUAGAGAACCCAGGAAGUAUGCUUCCCCUCCGCCAGAGGGGUUAUGGAGUGUUUCGGAAGAAUACUAUGAGAAUUUGAGGUCCAAAAUAUUUCUUUCCAUUUGAAUUAGAAUUGCAAAUCCAAUUCACACUGGACGAAGAUCCUAUUUAUUUCUUUAUAUUCUAUGGAAAGUGCUAUCCCCCGGUGACAUGGCAACCAUAGCAAACAUAGCAAAUAAAGCUCUAAAUUUUAAUAAUGAGAGUUACUUGAAAGCAAUGACAGCACAGCCAAACGUAUCUUUGUAGUAAAAUUUUGUGCAUAUAGGAGAUAUUCCAUAGAUAUUUGUUAAGCUGAACUAGAUAAAAUCUAUACUGUCUUUGUGGAACAUUAUAAAGAUUGAAAAAUUGUUGAAAAUGUUGCUUAUAAAAACCAAAAGUUAGGUGACUUAAGUAUCUUAUAUUCUGGUGGAAGAAUACCAUCCAUUUAACCCAGUGUACUCCUCUACCUUUUGGAGUCUUCAUAUUAAAAAAUAUUAAAAUAUUUGUUGAUUGAAUGUAAAGUAAUAUGAGUCUCUUCUACUUCACAGAAUUUGAGAUUGGAAAAGUUAAGAUGCUCAUACUAAAAGAAGUGAUACAUAUGCUUCAAAUCUCUUUGAUAUAUAGAGACAUGGACACCAACUGUCAAGGCUAUUGCACAAACACAGUCAGACUUCAUUAGAACAAGCAUGGAAAUCUGAGAUGUAACAUGUGCAUCAGGCACUCACAUGGCACAGCCUGGCAGCUGUCCCUGAGGACAUCAAAUACAGCUCAGAGUGAAAGGUUACUCAGCUUCUCAAACUCAGCCAUAGACCAUGAGAAGUUCUCAGGAAGAUAAAGGCCAAUCUGAAAGAUGAAAAGGUAUCAGAGGCAUGCAGGCACAGAGAAAAAGCCAUUUGAGGCCAUCCUCAAGAAGAAGCCAUCUGUAAGCCACAGAGUGGGGCCUUAGGAGAAGCCAAGCUGUCAGCACCUUGAUCUUGGACUUCCAGCCUC
This 1608-nucleotide long non-coding RNA is filed under the name Homo sapiens (human). RNAcentral describes it as "HSALNT0313025". The record is from RNAcentral. Lineage: Eukaryota; Metazoa; Chordata; Mammalia; Primates; Hominidae.